Long non-coding RNA from Homo sapiens (human), 1821 nucleotides. RefSeq lists it as uncharacterized. Lineage: Eukaryota; Metazoa; Chordata; Mammalia; Primates; Hominidae. The transcript is spliced from 2 exons. The record is from RefSeq and is a predicted model, not a curated record.
AAGAACAAGACUCUGUCUCAAAAAAAAAAAUAAAAUAAAAUAAAUAAAAUAAAAACAAUGAAAAUAACAAUUUUCAGAUUACUGUUCAUCAAACAUACUAACUUACCGGUUUUGUACUCUGGUCAAUGCUAUUUAAAAAUUCCUUCGUUUUGAAAGAUUUUUCUCCUUCAAGUUCUCUGAAGGGACUGAAAGUUCAAGGCAUCUGGAUUUAAGAGAGUUAAAAAUUGGAUGGCAAAGUGACCCCAAAAAAGUUAGAAACAAGAUUAAGAUUUUGAUAACCCAAAUUAGGGAGUUAGGCAUCAUCUUUCAUAGGAGCAAUAAUGAGACAUUGCAUUAUCUUAUUCAGGGAGAGAUUUUAAUGUGAUGAACAUAUUAAAGGAACCAUGCUGGCCACAGGAUAAAGAGUCAUCUAGAUGGGGCGAGAUAGGGAAAAGUGACCACUCGGUUGUUGUCAUAAUUUGGGCAAGAUAGUGAUAACCUAAAUGUGGUACUAGAAAGUGAACUGGCAACAAGUGCAACAAUUACAGGCAUUAAAAAAAAAGGAUAUACAAUCAUCCCUUGGUAUCCAUGGGGAUUGGUUCCAGUAACCCUGCAGAUAACAAAAUCCAAGGAUACUGAAGUCCCUGAUAUAAAAUGGUGUAGUCUUUGCCCAUAAUGUAUCUCUCUUCGUGUGUUUAAAAUCAUCUCUAGACUACUUAUUAUGCCUAAUGCUAUGUAAAUGCUAUGUAAAUAGUUUGUAUACUCUAUUUUUUAAAUUUGCAUUUUUAUUGUUAUAUUGCUGUUCUUUUAUUUUUAUUUUUCAUAUAUUGAUCUACAGUUGGUUGCAUCUGCAGAUGUGGAGACAGUGGACACAGAAUCUGCUGAUAAUGGAGGGCUCACUGUAUAAGCAAACAGACAGAAGUUUGUGCCAUAUUAGACAUGGACAUAGAGGGAGUGGGAAUAGCUACAAUGACAGAAAUACUUGGAUUUCUGGCUUAAGAAAACUAGACAGAAGUCAGUGGUACUGUUCACUGGGAUUGCUUAACUAGGCCAAAUGCUGCAGAGAAAUAAAAUUAAAAUAGAAGGGAACAGGUAUAGAAGGUCUUGGUAUUUAUAUUAAGAACUUGGUCUACAUGGGGGAAGAGUAGAGGGGAUUCCAGAUGUUUGUGGCUUGAAGAGGGACUAGACAGUAAGUUGAUAGGUAAGUGGAGGCAGAUACAUCUUGAAGAUGUGGAGAAAGAGAGGGGCAAACUGAAGGAAAAUGGAAAGUUAAGGCUGAAAGAAAACUUUGGUUUGAAUAGGAGAGAGCCAAGUAAGUUUCAUGGAUCCAACCUGAACAGUUGGUUAUCUUCAUUCUCUUCUCUUACACAUCAAAUACUAAAACAAGCAAAAAACAUCUUCUGUUAUUUUCCUUUCUUUUAGGCUCACUCUGUGGCAUUGCAGACAAUACAAGGAAAGAUGGUUUAACCUUAGGAGAAUUGAAUCCCAGGGGCAGCACUGUGACUCAGAAACCAAAAGGGACCAUUUCUUAUUUGAAAUCAGCCAUGCAACUUCACCGGUUUUACAAUGACUCUAGCCACCUCUUCCUUAGCAGACACUUCCGGGGCUACUACUGCUUGUUAUCUGGGUCCUUUCCCUUUUGACCACAGAUCCUCCUGGAAUCUCCAGUGUGGCUGGAAUGGCUUUAACCCCAAGGCCGUAUUUGGAAGCCACUUGUUUAAAAUUAAGGAGCCAGAAGCUAGAAAGAGCUCCUGUCUCUGAUUCACCACCUAGGGGAGCACUAUCUAACUAUCAGAAAUUUUUAUCAGCAGGAAAUAAACUUCUAUUGUGUUAAGCCUCCAA